ACGGGAGGCAGCAGUGGGGAAUAUUGCACGAUGGGGGAAACCCUGAUGCAGCGACGCCGCGUGAGUGAAGAAGUAUCUCGGUAUGUAAAGCUCUAUCAGCAGGGAAGAAAAUGACGGUACCUGACUAAGAAGCCCCGGCUAACUACGUGCCAGCAGCCGCGGUAAUACGUAGGGGGCAAGCGUUAUCCGGAUUUACUGGGUGUAAAGGGAGCGUAGACGGCGAUGCAAGUCUGAAGUGAAAGGCGGGGGCUCAACCCUUGGACUGCUUUGGAAACUGUAUUGCUAGAGUGCAGGAGAGGUAAGUGGAAUUCCUAGUGUAGCGGUGAAAUGCGUAGGUAUUAGGAGGAACACCAGUGGCGAAGGCGGCUUACUGGACUGUAACUGACGUUGAGGCUCGAAAGCGUGGGGAGCAAACAGGAUUAGAUACCCUGGUA
RNAcentral lists this ribosomal RNA (434 nucleotides) under uncultured Clostridium sp. Its description in RNAcentral is "partial 16S ribosomal RNA". It matches the Rfam family "Bacterial small subunit ribosomal RNA", at positions 341 to 792 of the family's 1533-position model. Lineage: Bacteria; Bacillati; Bacillota; Clostridia; Eubacteriales; Clostridiaceae. The record is from RNAcentral.